This 66-nucleotide transfer RNA is filed under the name Bactrocera wuzhishana. Its description in RNAcentral is "tRNA-Glu". The record is from RNAcentral. Lineage: Eukaryota; Metazoa; Arthropoda; Insecta; Diptera; Tephritidae.
AUUUAUAUAGUUUAACAAAAACAUUACAUUUUCACUGUAAAAAUAAAAUUUUUAUUUUUAUAAAUU